This 439-nucleotide ribosomal RNA is filed under the name uncultured bacterium. RNAcentral describes it as "partial 16S ribosomal RNA". It matches the Rfam family "Bacterial small subunit ribosomal RNA", at positions 338 to 795 of the family's 1533-position model. The record is from RNAcentral.
CCUACGGGUGGCUGCAGUGGGGAAUAUUGCACAAUGGGCGAAAGCCUGAUGCAGCAACGCCGCGUGAGCGAUGAAGGCCUUCGGGUCGUAAAGCUCUGUUCUCAAGGAAGAUAAUGACGGUGCUUGAGGACGAAGCCCCGGCAAAUUACGACCCAGCAGCAGCGGUAAUACUAAGGGGGCUGGGGUUAUCCGGCUUAAUUGGGGUAAGAGGGUGCGUAGGCGGAAUGCCAGGUCAUCGGUAAAAUCGCGGGGCUCAACCUCGUUCCGCCGUUGAAACUGGCGUUCUUGAGUGGGCGAGAGGUAUACGGAAUGCGUGGUGUAGCGGUGAAAUGCAUAGAUAUCACGAAGAACACCGAUUGCGAAGGCAGCAUGCCGGCGACCAACUGACGCUGAAGCACGAAAGCGUGGGUAUCGAACAGGAUUAGAUACCCGAGUAGUC